UCCCUGGAAGAUUAGUGGUUAGGCCUCGGUGCUCUCACCGCUGUGGCCUGGGUUCGAUUCCCGACCAGUGCU
Molecule: non-coding RNA, 72 nt
Organism: Pangasius djambal
Lineage: Eukaryota; Metazoa; Chordata; Actinopteri; Siluriformes; Pangasiidae
Source: the annotation of a GenBank genome assembly